AUUGAACGCUGGCGGCAGGCCUAACACAUGCAAGUCGAGCGGAUGAAGGGAGCUUGCUCCUGGAUUCAGCGGCGGACGGGUGAGUAAUGCCUAGGAAUCUGCCUGGUAGUGGGGGAUAACGUCCGGAAACGGGCGCUAAUACCGCAUACGUCCUGAGGGAGAAAGUGGGGGAUCUUCGGACCUCACGCUAUCAGAUGAGCCUAGGUCGGAUUAGCUAGUUGGUGGGGUAAAGGCCUACCAAGGCGACGAUCCGUAACUGGUCUGAGAGGAUGAUCAGUCACACUGCAACUUAGACACGGUCCACACUCUUACGGGAAGCAGCAGUGUCGAAUAUUGGACAACUGGCGAAAGCCUGAUACAGUCAUGCCCCGUGUGUGAAGAAGGUCUUCGGAUUAUAAAGCACUUUAAGUUGGGAGGAAGGGCAGUAAGUUAAUACCUUGCUGUUUUGACGUUACCAACAGAAUAAGCACCGGCUAACUUCGUG
RNAcentral lists this ribosomal RNA (484 nucleotides) under uncultured bacterium. RNAcentral's name for it is "partial 16S ribosomal RNA". It matches the Rfam family "Bacterial small subunit ribosomal RNA", at positions 30 to 507 of the family's 1533-position model. The record is from RNAcentral.